UCCCUGGUGGUCCAGUGGUUAGGACUCUGCACUUUUAUGCCAAGGAUCCAGUUUCAAUCCCUGGUCUGGGAA
RNAcentral lists this transfer RNA (72 nucleotides) under Bos taurus (domestic cattle). It matches the Rfam family "tRNA". From Rfam's summary of the family: Transfer RNA (tRNA) molecules are approximately 80 nucleotides in length. Their secondary structure includes four short double-helical elements and three loops (D, anti-codon, and T loops). Lineage: Eukaryota; Metazoa; Chordata; Mammalia; Artiodactyla; Bovidae. The record is from Rfam by way of RNAcentral.